RNAcentral lists this ribosomal RNA (233 nucleotides) under uncultured bacterium. RNAcentral describes it as "partial 16S ribosomal RNA". It matches the Rfam family "Bacterial small subunit ribosomal RNA", at positions 333 to 583 of the family's 1533-position model. The record is from RNAcentral.
CUAGUCCUACGGGACGCAGCAGUGAGGGAUAUUGGUCAAUGGGGGAAACCCUGAACCAGCAACGCCGCGUGAGGGAAGACGGUUUUCGGAUUGUAAACCUCUGUCCUCUGUGAAGAUAAUGACGGUAGCAGAGGAGGAAGCUCCGGCUAACUACGUGCCAGCAGCCGCGGUAAUACGUAGGGAGCGAGCGUUGUCCGGAUUUACUGGGUGUAAAGGGUGCGUAGGCGGGGAAG